Molecule: long non-coding RNA, 945 nt
Organism: Alligator mississippiensis (American alligator)
Lineage: Eukaryota; Metazoa; Chordata; Crocodylia; Alligatoridae
Exons: 2
Source: RefSeq, a predicted model, not a curated record
CCAGGACCUGGGAGUCGGUGGCUGCCAGAGACAGCCCGAGAGACAUGUCCACAGCGUCAGCGGGCCCUGGAAGAGGACGGAGACCAUGGAGCGUGGUGAUGUCACUUCCUGCCAAAUGGAACCAUGGCCACAAGGAUGAUUAUGAUGCCUGCAGCACUCUGGUGACAUCACUUCCCGUGGGGGUGGAACCGUGGCCCAUGGAAAAUCCACACAUGAAUGUGGCAACAUCACUUCCUGCCAGGUGCAGCCGCUGUCCAAGGGGAGAUGAUUGUAACACCUACAUCAGUAUGGUGAUGUCACUUCCUGUGAGGGAGAGCUGUGGUCCAAGGCGGUUGUGGCAGCACUUCUAUCACUUGAUCACAUCACUUCCCGUGGAGUGGAGCCUCGGCCCACAGAGAACACCUACAUCAGUGUGUUGACAUCACUUCCUCCAAGUUGGAGUCAUGAUCCAACAGGGAACAUCUAUAUUAAAUGACAUCACUUCCUGCCAGUGGGAAGCCCAGCCCCAGCAGAACUUCUAUCUCCAUGUGGUGACAUCACUUCCUCCAUCUGAUGACCUCAUUGGGCGACAUCUCUUCCUGCCACAACCUCACUUCCUGCAAUGGGAGAUAGGGGCUCCUUCCACCUCCUCACUGGACCAUGUCUCCUCCUGCCAUGACCUCACUUCCUCCCACAGGAUCAGGCAUAGGGGUUACUUCCACCAAUACAGAGCUGAGUGACAUCUCUUCCUCAAACAACCUCACUUCCUCCCACAGGGUUGGGGACAGGGGUUACUUCCGCCAACGUGAAACUGGGCCAUACCUCUUCCUUGAACAACCUCACUUCCUCCCACGGAGUCAGGGAUAGAGUCCACUUCCACCAACACGGGACUGCGCCAUGUUUCUUCAUCUAAUGACCUCACUUCCUCCCACAGGGUUGAGAAUAAAAUCUACUGACUGGGCGACA